CACUUUUUUAAUAUUCCAUAUGAGAAGACAGACCCUUUCAUUCCAGUGCUGGCUGGGCCUAAGGCAAGAAAUCUUGAGCUGUAAAGAAAGACUUUCAACAUAAAUAAUGAAAAGAGGGAAAAAGUAUCAGGUGAGCCAGGUGCAGUGCCCUGUGUCUAGACCCUGGUACUCAGGCAGCAUAAUGAGAUCCACACACAUACUCUGCCCCAAUAAAAUCUCCAUGUAAUCCACUGCCUUGUUCCACUGGCUCAGAAAGUGUUGGAGUGAACAGAGAAGUUACAGUUGAAGCCAUUGUAAUGCGGUGGCCUUGUGAUUCUGAGACUGCCUGAAACCCUUGGCCUUUAUUAGAACCUGGUGCAGGGUGGUCUGGAACCUGGGCUGGGGAGUGGUGCCACAGUGGCAGAGGACAACUCCAGCCACACUCACUCAAGCUGUCCCACAAAUAUUUCUGGAGUGAUGGAGGCCAGUGCUAUCUAGUAACUGCUGUUCCCUCCAUUCCCGACCCUAUUUCUCACCCCAGGUACCUGCUAUACAACUUCCCCAUGACCUGCGCCUUCGUGGGUGUGGCCAGCAACUUCACAUUCCUCAGUGUCAUCGCGCUCUUCAGCUAUAUGCAGUGGGUGUGGGGUGCUGUCUGGCCCCGACACCGCUUCUCUUUGCAGGUCUCAAGGGGCAAAGCGCCCGUUUUCUUACCUUGGUGAUCAGGGGCAUGUUAGGGAUAGGGUGUGAUUACUACAGAGGGGAGUCAGGCAUCACUGCUCGGUGGUUACUGCUCCACAGGUUAAUAUCCGACAAAGGGAUAAUUCAGGACACGGGGCCCAGCGUCGGAUCUCUCGCCAUCAGCCAGGUAAAGCGGUUGGUUGACAGUAUCAUUGAGGGUCUGCCUGCUCCAGUAUAAAGCAUGUUGUACACUGGAACUGAGGGUGCAAGGAGAGGUUGGAGGAGGUGGAGUUGGCACUGCAAGACAAGACUAACCACUGACCCUAGCUGUCCUCUGUUUGUGGGACCUGAAGGUCAGGCGUCUACCCAGCAGUCAGAUGUGACAGAGGAUGGCGAGAGCCCUGAGGAUCCCUCAGGAACAGAGGGUCAGCUGUCUGAGGAAGAGAAACCAGAGAAGCAGCCUCUGAAUGGAGAAGGGGAGCAGGAGCCAGAGGCUAGUGACGGCUCCUGGGAAGAUGCUGCUUUGCUGACCGAAGCCUCAACGUCUGCCCUCGCCCCUGAGACUCUGGGCAGCCUCAGGCAACGCCAGACCUGCUCCAGUUCCUGAACAAAAGGGUGGAGUCUUCACAUUCCAGCACUUUCCCAUAGGGCACCUCUUCCCUUGUUCCCUUAAUAAACUAUUUUGUGUCAGCUGCUAGUAUGGACAUCAGAG
This 1372-nucleotide long non-coding RNA is filed under the name Rattus norvegicus (Norway rat). Its description in RNAcentral is "long non-coding RNA NONRATT001512". Lineage: Eukaryota; Metazoa; Chordata; Mammalia; Rodentia; Muridae. The record is from RNAcentral.